This 468-nucleotide ribosomal RNA is filed under the name uncultured bacterium. RNAcentral's name for it is "partial 16S ribosomal RNA". It matches the Rfam family "Bacterial small subunit ribosomal RNA", at positions 28 to 507 of the family's 1533-position model. The record is from RNAcentral.
GACGAACGCUGGCGGCGUGCUUAACACAUGCAAGUCGAACGGAAAGGCCCUGCUUUUGUGGGGUGCUCGAGUGGCGAACGGGUGAGUAACACGUGAGUAACCUGCCCUUGACUUUGGGAUAACUUCAGGAAACUGGGGCUAAUACCGGAUAGGAGCUCCUGCUGCAUGGUGGGGGUUGGAAAGUUUCGGCGGUUGGGGAUGGACUCGCGGCUUAUCAGCUUGUUGGUGGGGUAGUGGCUUACCAAGGCUUUGACGGGUAGCCGGCCUGAGAGGGUGACCGGCCACAUUGGGACUGAGAUACGGCCCAGACUCCUACGGGAGGCAGCAGUGGGGAAUAUUGCACAAUGGGCGGAAGCCUGAUGCAGACACGCCGCGUGCGGGAUGACGGCCUUCGGGUUGUAAACCGCUUUCGCCUGUGACGAAGCGUGAGUGACGGUAAUGGGUAAAGAAGCCCCGGCUAACUACGUG